This 133-nucleotide ribosomal RNA is filed under the name uncultured bacterium. Its description in RNAcentral is "partial 16S ribosomal RNA". The record is from RNAcentral.
GGUACCGUCGAUACUCUGGAAUAUUAAUCCAAAAUACUUUCGUCCCUCCCGACAGAGGUUUACGACCCGAAGGCCUUCAUCCCUCACGCGGCGUUGCUGUGUCAGGGUUUCCCCCAUUGCACAAGAUUCCCGA